GGACGGGUGAGUAAUGCCUAGGAAAUUGCCCUGAUGUGGGGGAUAACCAUUGGAAACGAUGGCUAAUACCGCAUAAUGCCUACGGGCCAAAGAGGGGGACCUUCGGGCCUCUCGCGUCAGGAUAUGCCUAGGUGGGAUUAGCUAGUUGGUGAGGUAAUGGCUCACCAAGGCGACGAUCCCUAGCUGGUCUGAGAGGAUGAUCAGCCACACUGGAACUGAGACACGGUCCAGACUCCUACGGGAGGCAGCAGUGGGGAAUAUUGCACAAUGGGCGCAAGCCUGAUGCAGCCAUGCCGCGUGUGUGAAGAAGGCCUUCGGGUUGUAAAGCACUUUCAGUCGUGAGGAAGGUGGUAGUGUUAAUAGCACUAUCAUUUGACGUUAGCGACAGAAGAAGCACCGGCUAACUCCGUGCCAGCAGCCGCGGUAAUACGGAGGGUGCGAGCGUUAAUCGGAAUUACUGGGCGUAAAGCGCAUGCAGGUGGUUUGUUAAGUCAGAUGUGAAAGCCCGGGGCUCAACCUCGGAAUAGCAUUUGAAACUGGCAGACUAGAGUACUGUAGAGGGGGGUAGAAUUUCAGGUGUAGCGGUGAAAUGCGUAGAGAUCUGAAGGAAUACCGGUGGCGAAGGCGGCCCCCUGGACAGAUACUGACACUCAGAUGCGAAAGCGUGGGGAGCAAACAGGAUUAGAUACCCUGGUAGUCCACGCCGUAAACGAUGUCUACUUGGAGGUUGUGGCCUUGAGCCGUGGCUUUCGGAGCUAACGCGUUAAGUAGACCGCCUGGGGAGUACGGUCGCAAGAUUAAAACUCAAAUGAAUUGACGGGGGCCCGCACAAGCGGUGGAGCAUGUGGUUUAAUUCGAUGCAACGCGAAGAACCUUACCUACUCUUGACAUCCAGAGAACUUUCCAGAGAUGGAUUGGUGCCUUCGGGAACUCUGAGACAGGUGCUGCAUGGCUGUCGUCAGCUCGUGUUGUGAAAUGUUGGGUUAAGUCCCGCAACGAGCGCAACCCUUAUCCUUGUUUGCCAGCGAGUAAUGUCGGGAACUCCAGGGAGACUGCCGGUGAUAAACCGGAGGAAGGUGGGGACGACGUCAAGUCAUCAUGGCCCUUACGAGUAGGGCUACACACGUGCUACAAUGGCGCAUACAGAGGGCAGCAAGCUAGCGAUAGUGAGCGAAUCCCAAAAAGUGCGUCGUAGUCCGGAUUGGAGUCUGCAACUCGACUCCAUGAAGUCGGAAUCGCUAGUAAUCGUGGAUCAGAAUGCCACGGUGAAUACGUUCCCGGGCCUUGUACACACCGC
RNAcentral lists this ribosomal RNA (1297 nucleotides) under Vibrio owensii. RNAcentral describes it as "bacterial SSU rRNA". It matches the Rfam family "Bacterial small subunit ribosomal RNA", at positions 100 to 1393 of the family's 1533-position model. Lineage: Bacteria; Pseudomonadati; Pseudomonadota; Gammaproteobacteria; Vibrionales; Vibrionaceae. The record is from RNAcentral.